This 253-nucleotide ribosomal RNA is filed under the name uncultured bacterium. Its description in RNAcentral is "partial 16S ribosomal RNA". It matches the Rfam family "Bacterial small subunit ribosomal RNA", at positions 524 to 776 of the family's 1533-position model. The record is from RNAcentral.
UACGUAGGGCGCAAGCGUUGUCCGGAAUUAUUGGGCGUAAAGAGCUCGUAGGCGGUCUGUCGCGUCGGCUGUGAAAACCCGGGGCUCAACUCCGGGCCUGCAGUCGAUACGGGCAGACUAGAGUGUGGUAGGGGAGACUGGAAUUCCUGGUGUAGCGGUGGAAUGCGCAGAUAUCAGGAGGAACACCGGUGGCGAAGGCGGGUCUCUGGGCCAUAACUGACGCUGAGGAGCGAAAGCGUGGGGAGCGAACAGG